Molecule: long non-coding RNA, 216 nt
Filed under: Manihot esculenta (cassava)
Lineage: Eukaryota; Viridiplantae; Streptophyta; Magnoliopsida; Malpighiales; Euphorbiaceae
Description: long non-coding RNA (MESC_LNC001080)
Source: RNAcentral
CCAUACGCUGGAGCUGGGUCAUGUGCUGGAGAUUGAUUCGGCGGGGCCCAUGUGAGGAAUGUGCAGUUUAUGUGAAGCGCUGCGCGGACUGCUGGACUUGGAGCGAGCUUGGUGGACUGUCCAAGCUUGAAUGUGUGGAUCCAUGGGCUGUCCAUAAGCGGCCCAAGUGCUUGAAUAUUAAGCUUCAAAAUAUUUUUCCCAUAUUUGACUUGAAUC